RNAcentral lists this unclassified non-coding RNA (336 nucleotides) under soil metagenome. Its description in RNAcentral is "partial contains 5.8S ribosomal RNA, internal transcribed spacer 2, and large subunit ribosomal RNA". The stretch from base 1 to 120 matches the Rfam family "5.8S ribosomal RNA", at positions 35 to 154 of the family's 154-position model. The record is from RNAcentral.
GAUGAAGAACGUAGCGAAAUGCGUUAAGUAAUGUGAAUUGCAGAACUCAGUGAAUCAUCGAAUCUUUGAACGCACAUUGCGCCCGCCAGUAUUCUGGCGGGCAUGCCUGUUCGAGCGUCAUUUCAACCAUCAAGCCCCAGGCUUGUGUUGGGGACCUGCGGCUGCCGCAGGCCCUGAAAACCAGUGGCGGGCUCGCUGUCACACCGGGCGUAGUAGAUUUUAUCUCGCUCUGGGCGUGCUGCGGGUUCCGGCCGUUAAAAAACCCUUUUAACCCAAGGUUGACCUCGGAUCAGGUAGGAAUACCCGCUGAACUUAAGCAUAUCAAUAAGCGGAGGA